Molecule: ribosomal RNA, 453 nt
Filed under: Triticum aestivum (bread wheat)
Lineage: Eukaryota; Viridiplantae; Streptophyta; Magnoliopsida; Poales; Poaceae
Description: partial small subunit ribosomal RNA
Source: RNAcentral
AUGCUGAAAUAUGAAGUAGAUAUGGAAGACAAAGAAAUACAACAAGCAGAAUGUUGCGUACUAGAAGAGUUUCCGCCAACUACCGGGCCAAAAGAACAUAUUAUGCAUGCGGCAACCACACAAGAGCAUGAAGUUAUUGAUAUAUCCAGUAAACACAAAGAUAUUAUGGAUGUCAGCAGCCACGCCGUCGCCCAACAAUCUUUCACAGUCCAUGAACAAAAUGAUCCACCAAUAGAACCAGAUCAACCACCACCAGACGACAAGAUACCACAACAUGCCGAAGAGGAAACAGACGAGCAAAAUAUCAACAGCAAUAUCACGACCACAGAGCAACUGGAACAAACAGGCACUGAUUUAAAAGAGGAUGAUAGAAGCAACGACAAACCAAAAACAAUGGAAAAGCAGGAAGAAGUUGAUGAAUUUCUUUCAAGCCUUAACCCACUACAACUAUAG